GAGAAGCCGCAUCAACCAUACUCAUGAAAUGGCCACAGAUGAUAAGACGUCCCCAACACUGGACUCUGCUAAUGAUUUGCCUCGAUCUCCUACUAGUCCUUCUCAUCUCACACACUUUAAACCUUUGACUCCUGAUCAAGAUGAGCCCCCUUUUAAAUCAGCUUAUAGUUCUUUUGUAAAUCUCUUUCGUUUUAACAAAGGCUGGAGUGCAAUGGCACAGUCUUG
Molecule: long non-coding RNA, 225 nt
Filed under: Homo sapiens (human)
Lineage: Eukaryota; Metazoa; Chordata; Mammalia; Primates; Hominidae
Description: HSALNT0046497
Source: RNAcentral